GUGGCUCAUGUCAAACACUUGAUGACUGUGACGGUCAGCUCAUAUGCAUCAACGGUAAAUGUAAAGACGACCCCGAAGUCGGGACUCACAUAUGCGGGGGAAGUUCAAGUACCCCUUCCCCUCCGGUCUCCUCCUCCACGCCUGCCAUUCUAACUAACAACAAUUUUGAAAAAUGAGGGGACGGUGGAGGCCCAUCGGAGUGCGACGGCAAAUACCAUGACAAUUCAGAGCGCAUCGUAGCAUUGCCAACUCGGUGGUAUGAUGGGGGAUCCCGGUGUGGGAAGAUGAUUAGGAUAACGGCUCCAAGUGGGAGGAGCGUGUUGGCCAAAGUGGUGGAUGAGUGUGAUUCAGCGGACGGCUGUGCGAAUAACAUAGUUGAUGGAUCUGAUGGUGUGUGGGCUGCUCUGGGGCUGGAUAUCAAUCUUGGUGAAGUGCACGUUACUUGGUCCAUGGCUUAGAUAUCCGUAUGGUUAAUGAGUUGGGUUGGUUUUUUGUGUUCCCCUCUACUUUGGUUAUGAUGUAAUUUUGCAGCAAUAUGCACUGAAAUAAAAUAGCUGGAAGGCGCUAGCCCAGUGCCACCAGAACCCCAUUGACUGGUUUGAUUAAUAAAGAGUGAUUAUCGGCAGAAUGAACUACUUCAAGUCUUCAACCAUCACAUCGAUUAAUUAAUAAAGAAUCCCAUCAACUGUUGUUAUCCUCCUUAUACACAUUGAUUAAUUAGGCUUUAUAAACACCUACGAAACUUAAAGAUUGUUUUCCCUGAUGAUCAGUACUUCACAGUUACUUUGUUCACCACAACAUACAUCGUCUGAACAUUGGGCAGCAGCCGAUUAUUGUCUCUGUACCAUUAAUUAUCGAUCCUAAUCAACUCAUUUUUAUCCAAUCGUACUGGGCAGUACUUACAAGACAAGUCUUUAUUAUUAUUUUUUCAACAUUACAGCUAUCAAGAAAUCAUUUAAGCUUAUUAUUUUAAUUUGUUGAACAAGUUAACUUCAUUGCAUAGUUAUUAAACCACCUAUUAAUAAAUAAUUUUUAUUUUUAAUAAAUUAAUAUAUAAAAUUAAAUAAACCCAAUCCAGUUAUUAAAAUAUCGUUGAGCUAAAAAAAUGAGCUUAUUUCUCAAAUAAGCUGGAGGGGCUCGAACCCUCACAAAAUAUUUAAGGAGUGUCCAAUAUACCACUAAAUUAAUUAUAAUUAUUUUAUAAUUAAAUAAAAAAAUUUCAUUUAGUAGAUUAAAAAAAAUAUAAAAAUUAUCAAGAUAAUUUUCUUUAUAGUGUUUUUAAUAUUAAAAAAUUAUACAUUUAUCAUCAUUUACUUUAUAUCAUUUAAUACAGUUGAAUUAAAUGUAUCAUAAUUUUAAUAUUAAAUAUAUUUAAAAAUUAGACAUAUUACAAUCAAAUAUCACAAUAUUAUUAUCGAAUAAUAUUUUAUGUAAUUUAAUAAUCAAUGUACACUUUUAUUUAUGUAAUUUAAUAAUCAAUGUACACUUUUAUAUAUAUAUAUAUAUAUAUAUAUAUAUCAAUUUCUUCAACAAAACAAUUUUAAAAAGUCUAUUAUACUUCUAAUUUCAGUUUUAAGAGUUUUUUUUUAUAUAUUUUCAUAAAUUUUGAUCAAAUUUAAAUUAAUCGAUAUUUUUUAUCAAAAUAUCUGUCUAUAUAUCCAUAAAAUCAAAAUAUCGAUAUAUUCGUGAUUACUGAUAAUUUUAUCCUUGACCCAAUCAUUAGUAAAAAUAAAUAUUACACCCAAUAAAUUAUUUAUAUAUAAUAUUAUAAUCUAAACUAAAUUAUGUAUAAAUAAAUUUGUUCAAAGAAAGUACAUGUCAAACAAAUUUUCAUUUAAUUCCUAGUAAUUUGUUUUAAACAUAUUAAAGUAGUUGAAAUACAAAUGUUCAAUCAAAGUUUUAUUUAAUUUUUAAUCUAUCAAAUGAGAAUAUCAUCAAACUUCCUAUAAGAAAACAUUGCUUUCCACAUAAAAGAAUCAACUCCAAAUUAAAUUUGCACUAUCACCAAUAUCUGCUUCAAAAAUUACACAAAAACCUAAAGUUUAGUAGUACAAAUUAAGUUUUCAAUAUCAUAUACUAUUUUUGAAGAAUUCUCUUGUCACUAUAAACAAAUACUUGUCUUUAUGAUAAAAUUAAUUUGAGUAAGGAUCUAAGGUAUAACUUACUUGCCCUAAGAAAAUUUUAACUUCAACCAUUUCAAAUAUAAGAUCGCGUUAUACCUCAAAUAAUAGAGUAUAAUAGUAUUAAGAAUUCAAUAAACUACUACUACUUCUUCUUCUUCUUCUUCUUUAUUUUAAGCAAAAUAAUAUAUAUUUCAUCAUAAACCAUACUAUUUUAACUUCAACCAUUUCAAAUAUAAGAUAGAGUUAUACCUUAAAUAAUAGAGUAUAAUAGUAUUAAGAAUUCAAUAAACUACUACUUCUUCUUCUUUAUUUUAAGCAAAAUAAUAUAUAUUUCAUCAUAAACCAUACUAUUUUAACUUCAACCAUUUCAAAUAUAAGAUAGAGUUAUACCUUAAAUAAUAGAGUAUAAUAGUAUUAAGAAUUCAAUAAACUACUACUUCUUCUUCUUUAUUUUAAGCAAAAUAAUAUAUAUUUCAUCAUAAGCCAUACUAUUUUAACUUCAACCAUUUCAAAUAUAAGAUAGAGUUAUACCUCAAAUAAUAAAGUAUAAUAGUAUUAAGAAUUCAAUAGACUACUUCUUCUUCUUCUUCUUCUUCUUCUUCUUCUUCUUCUUCUUCUUCUUUAUUUAAGCAAAAUCAUAUAUUAUUCAUCAUAAACCAUACUAUUUAUCAUUAUCCUAAUAAUACUAAACUCAAGGUUACGUAUAAUAAAAUGAAAUAUCUAAAAGUAUUUUUUUGAAUUCUAUAUAUGUUAAAAACUAGUAUUAAAUUAAGAAAAAUAAAAUAAAGAAAAAGAGUAUUAAUGCAUGUUUACAGCUAAAUAAUGCAAAGAUUGAGUGUCAUUUUGAUAAAAAGGCCACGAAGUACGUGAUACAUAGGAUUUGGUUAUCUCAAUGUAUUAAAACCAAUGCUAAAACCUGCUUGAAGAAAAAAAACUAGAAUACUCAUACCCUAAUUAAGUACCACAAUAAAUUAAUAUCAUAAAACAUUAUAAUAAAUUUACCUUUGAUUAGAAUUUGUAUUCAUCUCAAGUAACCAAACAAAUUACCUCUAAAUUAUUUUAAAAUUUUGCAUAGUUUAGUUCACAUCAUUGAAAAUAAAAAGGUUUUUCAAAUGUCAUGAUCACUAUAUAUUUUCUAUCAAUGCAUAAUUUCAAUAAUUAUGUAAUCUUGCUUUUACAUUGAUACAUGGAAGCCACUCGCUUCUUAUUUCACAACUCGUCAUUUGAACACUUAACCAAUAAAUGUUUUUUUUUUUUCCGUUUUUUCUUAAUUUUAAAUUUUUUAUUUAUCUUUUCAUUUAAAUAUAGAAAGAUCUUUAUUACAAAUGUAUUUAAAAUAAAAAAUAUUUAGAGCUAUUAAAAAUCUAUUUAAAUUGAAUUUAUUUAUAUCUAAAAGAUUUUUAUUCUUUUUAAGUUUUUAAAAUGUACUAUAAACUAGUGUAUCUGUUAGCCAACGAUUCUCCAGAUCGUGUUUUGAUGAUAAAAAAGCAUAGUUAAGUUGUUAAUUUUUUUUGAAUUAUAAAGAAUUUCAAGUGUUAGUUUGAAAAUCCAUUAAAGAACCCAAUGGAUGUAAGAUAAAGACAAUUGGAAAAUUUUACUCAUAGAAAACAUAUAUAAGAUGAAUGCAUGGAUGCAUUUAGGUUUUUCAUAUCUUUUCAUGCAUCUUUAAAAACUCAGUUUAUGCUUUAAAGUUACAUUUACAUCAAAACUUAAGUUUUAUUAAAUGAACUUUAGGCAAAUCAUUUCAAAAUUGGCAUAAUAAUUUACCUAAAAACCUUACCUAAGUGUUAGAAGAAAAAAAAACAUAAAAAAAAAAAGUUUUUGGGCCAAAAAUUGUAAACCAGUCGAGGCACUGGCCAACUAGCUCAAUUGACUAGGGUGCCGAUCAACCGAUUACACCUUCUCGAUCGAGGUCCGAUUGAGAGAUGCAAAAAAUCUUCUCUCUCUUCCAAUAGCCUUGCAUUCUUGAUCGAGGAAUAUGUCUUCCCGAUCGAGGCCUAACGGUCACCUAACAAGCAUUUAUUGCCCAAUAGUUAGUUAACCAGUCGACCUCCAGCUCGACCAAUCAAGGUUAUUUUUUUUUUUGGUCUUUUUGGCUCUCAAGGCUAUAAACUUAUAAAUUGAGAACUCGACUUCAUUUAUGAGUAAGAGAACACCUACAUUUAUUUGUCUACCUACUUGUUCUUGCCUCAAAAACUUUAAUUCUUUCAUUAGUUCAUUAAAUUUUCAUUUGCAUAUUCCUUAAUGCACCCUUAUGAUUCAUCCUAGCAUUUGAGUUGUAUUUAAGCCCUUGUUGAGCUAGGUUGAAAGAUUUGAUUUUGUUAUUCGAUUGUUAGAACCUUUAAGUGAGUAAAGACUUGAAAAUAUUGUAUAAGAGCUCAUUUGAGCUAAAAUCCAAGUGUAAAUGUGUCAGAAGCUUGGUUGAAACUUCAAAUAUAGUAGAACCCUCACUCGGUUAGGAGCUUGAGAAGAGUGGACGUAGGCAAGGGGUGUCGAAUCACUAUAAAAUCUGAAUUUGCUUCUUCGAACCUUAUCUCUUAUGUAUGUGCUUCCUUUACUUGAAUUUGUUGUGGUUGAAAACAAAAAUUAAAACCCAAUUCACCCACCCCUCUCUCUAUCUCUCUCUCUCUCUCUUUACCUCUUGGGUGUUUUCUCUAUUAAGAUUAGUCUUUAUUUUCUCAGUAUCUAAGAACAUAAAUAUGUGUUUUCACUCUUAAUAGCCCAAAAUAGAUUCUUUUUAAUCCAAUUAAUUCAUUUGAGAAUAUAUGGAAGAAUAAAAACCAAUCAAGACACAAGACAAAAGAUUAUUUACAUGGAUUUCCAUACAACAUGUGGAAAUAAAAAAACUAAAAAAAAUACCAUAGAGUCAAAGACCUCAAAUUUAUAAUCCACUUAUGAGAGUACAACAAAGUUUUACCUAACAGACAUUAUCCCUAAGACUUACUCUUCAAUACUCAUACUGCAUUUUACAUCCGCGAUACAACACCUUGUGUGCUCCCAAUGGAUCUCACCUUAGUAUUUGAAGGGAUGUAGAUCUCUUUCACAAUCUAACAAAAGCAAACAUGAACACUUCUUUGAGAGUUUUGGAAAGAAUAAGACAAAUUAGAUUUUCUAAUUCAGAAGCACUAAGCCAAAAACCUUUUUAAGCAAGGCAUAUGUAGGCCUAGAGACCUAGUGGAUCGAUACUUAGAAAAUCCUUGAUUUAAAUCCAUUAAAAAAUGGAAAGAGUGAACUCCAAAAUUUUGGAGGAUUCUAUCUCAUGUGCUUAUGCGCCCUUAUAGCCCUUGAGUGCUCUUCAAGCAUUGAAUUUAGUGCUCUUUCUCUUUUCUUUUUGGGAGAAUUAUGUUUUAGAGGUAGAUAAGCCCCCAAAUUAACAAAAUGUUCAUAUAACUCUUCAAAUUGAGUUGAAGGAUAUGAAAUAGUAACGGACAAAUAUACCCUUUAAGAACACAUAAAAUAUUUUAUAAAAUUAAGUUAAAUAAAAAAAUUUUAAUAAUUUUUUUUUCAAAAAUACUAAAUUAAAUAAAAGUGGUUUUCAAAAAUAUUAAAUUAAAUUUUUUUUUCAAAAAUAUUAAAUUAAAUAAUUUUUUUAAAUAUUAAAUUAAAUAAAAGUAUUUUUAAAAAAUAUUAAAUUACAUAAAAGUAUUUUUAAAAAAUAUUAAAUUAAAUCAAAAAUAUUUUUAAAAAAUAUUAAAUUAAAUAAAAGUAUUUUAAAAAAUAUUAAAUUACAUAAAAGUAUUUUUUAAAAAUAUUAAAUUAAAUCAAAAAUAUUUUUUAAAAAUAUUAAAUUAAAUAAAAGUAUUUUUCAAAAAUAUUAAUUUUUUUCUCAAAAUCAACAAAGGACAUUUUUGGAAAUACUGAAGGAUAAUAUCCUUCAACUCAAUUUUCAUACUUUCAUUGAGUCUUGGGAUCAAUUUGAAGAGUUACACGGACCUUUUGUUAAUUUGGGGGCCCAUCUACCCCUAAAACAUAAUUCUCCCUUUCUUUUUUUCUUCUCUCUCUCUAUAUAUAUAUAUAUAUAAUAAAAGGUUAAUUAAUUUUAUUAUAUUUUACAAAUAGAUUUAUACUUUUUCUUGCAUUAUUUUAAAAUAAAAUUAGAGUAAAGAAAAUGAAAAAUAUAUGAACAAAUUUAAUUUUAGUAUUUUUAUUUUUAAAAACGAAUUUUCAUUUUGCUCAACCCAAAGCUGUUUGGAAGUGAUCAUUUUCAAAAGUAUGGGAAACCAAAGGCAGCUAGAGAUUUAGUUAUAGUGUGUAGCAUGUGCAAAGACUUUGAACUCAAACCACCAAGGUGUACAACCUCUCUCUCCCUUAAUUGCAUUCGUUCACGAUCCCUUUAGAUACUUCUUCCCUUUUGGGUCAUGUAAAGUAGUGGCAAGACAAAUCCGAAUUGAUUCCUUACUAUAUAUAUAUACUUCUUCCCUAAUAUCUCGUGAUCACGAUCCCCUUUAGAUACUUCUUCCCUUUGUGGCAAGAAAAAUCCGAAUUGAUUUCUUACCAUAUAUAUAUACAUAUGAUAUGAUGUUCCAUAAUACGGUCAAAUAUAUUUACUUUUAAAGUUUCUUUCUCCACAUUAUUUUUCUUAUAUAGUAGAUUUAAAAUAUUCUUUAUCUACCCAUUUGCCGAUGCAUGUUUGUAAUUGUGGGAGUCAUUAGCAUUAAUUAUUGAAGGCAUGUGUCUAACCUAAAAAGAAGUUAGCAUUAUCGAAGGCCUAGUCUUAUGGAUGUGACUAAAGGAAGGAGAGGCCAUCAUACUCAUCCUAGUGCCAAUUAACUCAAAAUGACUGAGGAUAAUUCUUUGAUGGGGUAAUUUUUGAACAAGAUGAUAUUAUAUGAUAAGAAAAAGGUCUAUGUGAUAUUUGAAUAUAAUUUGAUAUUUACUUUGCUUAAAAAAAAAACUUUAAAAUAUUAAAAUGAGAGUCCAUAAAAAUUGAAGAAUGAUUUUUAUAAUUUAAAAAUAAAUAUAGUAAAUGCGUCACAUCAAAUUAUGGCACGCCACCUAAGAAUAGGAUAAGGAACCUAAAGUACAAAGAUCCGUCAUUUUCAAAUUGUGUGGCGGGUUGAGUGUGGGGAAUAUCAUCCUAAGAGUGAGACUUUUCUCAAUAGUACAGUAAUUUUAAAAAGUUAUGCUUAAAUUAUUAUAGUAGAAGAAGUUAUUAUAAAUAUAUGGUAGUUUUUGCCACCUAAGAGAGAGGAGAGAGAGUGAACCGAUAAAUUUUUUUUAAAACCAAAAUUGUCUUUUCAAAAGACGAUUUUAAAAAAAUUUCAAAAGGUAAAUCGUCUCUUCAAGAGAUGAGUUCCAUGGAAAAAAAUAUAUAUUUUUUUAAAAAAAAAUUCCUUAAGGGAACUCGUCUCUUCAAUAAACGAGUUCCACAAAAAAUAUAUAUAUAAAUUCCCAAAAAAAAAAAACACAAUUCCUCAAUGGAGCUCGUCUCUUCAAGAGAUGAGUUCCAUGAAUAUAUAUUUUUAAAAAAAUUCUCAAAUUAUAAAAAAAAAAAAAAAAAAAAGGAAAAUUCCUCAAGGGAACUCGUCUCUUCAAGAGACGAGUUCCCAUGAAAUUUUUUUUUUUUAAAAAAAAAUAUAUUCCCAAAUUAAAAAAAAAAAAAAUAUUCCUCAAGGGAACUCGCCUUUUUUUUUUUUUUUUUUUUUUUUUAUAAUUUGGGAAUUUUUUUAAAAUAUAUAUAUAUAUAUAUAUUCAUGGAACUCGUCUCUUGAAGAGACGAGUUCCCUUGAGGAAUUUUCUUUUUUAUUUUUUUUUUAUUUCGGGAAUUUUUUUCGUUCCCUUGAGGAAUUGUUUUUUUUUUUUUUAAUAAUUUGGGAAUUUUUUAAUAUAUAUAUAUAUAUAUAUUUUCAUGGAACUCGUCUCUUGAAGAGACAAGUUCCCUUGAGGAAUUUUCUUUUUUUUCUUUUUAUUUUUUUAAUUUGGGAAUUUUUUUUCCAUGGGAACUCGUCUCUUGAAGAGACAAGUUCUCUUGAGGAAUUGUUUUUUUUUUAUAUAUAUAAUUUGGGAAUUUUUUUAUAUAUAUAUUUUCAUAGAACUCGUCUCUUGAAGAGAGGAUUUCCCUUUUGAAAUUUUUUUUAAAUCAUCUUUUGAAAUUUUUUUUAAAUCAUCUUUUGAAAAAACUAUUUGAAAUUUGAAAUGAUGAUUUUGGUUUUAAAAAAAAAUUAUCUACUCACCCUCUCUCCUCUCUCCUAAGUGGUAAAAACUACCGUAUAUUUGUAAUAACUUCUUCUACUAUAAUAAUUUAAGCAUAACUUUUUUAAAUUACCGUAUGAGAAAAGUCUCCUAAGAGUGAAGCCGCGAGCUGAGAGAAGUCCCACUGGCACUAAAAUUAGAGAAGGCUUCAGUUACGUCAUGAACCGAAAGAUUGAAGUGAAGCCAUCUAGAGGAGCCUUGCAAAAAAAAAUAUAUAUGGUGGAGCCGCAUUAGGGCAUGGGGUGAGUACAUAAGUGGAUGCAAGCUUCAUCCGUUGUCCAUUAAGCCUCUUUGGGUUACUGAAUACUGAGAGUAGCUCCAAAUUGCAAUGGCAAAUUCACCUGUAGUGUGGUUAGCAUCGGUGUGCCUUGUGUUCAAUAUCUUGUCCCUUCCAUUCCUAGCAUUGGGCUUAUCUUCUUGUGGUGGCUCAUGUCAAACACUUAAUGACUGUGAAGGUCAGCUCAUUUGCAUCAAUGGUAAAUGUAACGACGAUCCCGAGGUCGGGACUCACAUAUGUGGAGGAAACUCGAGUACCCCUUCCCCUCCAUCCCCCAGUACCUGCCAGCCCUCGGGAACUCUUGCGUGCAAGGGCGGAAAACCCAAAAAUACCUACACAUGCUCUCCUCCGGUCACCUCCUCCACGCCUGCCGUUCUAACUAACAAUAAUUUUGAAAAAGGAGGAGACGGUGGAGGCCCAUCCGCUUGCGACAACAAAUACCAUGACAAUUCAGAGCGCAUCGUAGCAUUGUCAACUGGGUGGUAUAAUGGGGGAUCCCGGUGUGGAAAGAUGAUCAGGAUAACGGCUCAAAAUGGGAGGAGCGUGUUGGCCAAAGUGGUGGAUGAGUGUGACUCCAUGCACGGCUGUGACAAAGAGCAUGCAGGUCAGCCCCCCUGUGAUAAUAACAUAGUUGAUGGAUCUAAUGCUGUGUGGAAUGCUUUGGGGCUGGAUAUCAAUAUUGGUGAAGUGGACGUUACUUGGUCCAUGGCUUAGGUAUAUGGUUGGUUGGUUACUCGGUUUUUGUGUGUACGUACGUACCCUCCUCUUUGUGUUCCCCUCUCUAUUUUGGUUUGUAUGGCUCCGCCAAGCACUAUUUUUAUGUAAUUUUGCAGCAAUAUAUGCAUGCACUGAAAUAAAACUGGAAGGCACUAGCCCAGUGCCACCAGAACCCCAUUAAGUGGUUUGAUUAAUGAAGAGUGAUUUGCGUCACGAUCUACUUGAACCAUCACAUUGAUUAUUAAUGCAACGCCUAAACUACAUCAACUUCCAAUGAGUAUUUUAUAUUAAUUUGACAUUGAGAUUCACCUUAUAUAUAGCAAUACUGAUCUUGGGAAAAUACAUAUUUUAAAAUUAAAAAGUUGUAAAAUCGAAAGAAACUUAAAAAGUAAAAAGAAAGAAAAGAAAAGAACAUAGAAGGUCUUAUCUAAUGGGUGGUACUAGAUCACUUUGAUGAGGUCGCAGUGAAGAAAUUAACAAGAUCCCCAGGAAAGAGAUGCUGUGCAAUAAGAAAUAUCAUCCUGGAACCCAAAUAUAAAAAGCCCCAUGGAGUUAUUGACGGGUACAUCAGUCAUAUAUAUACAUAUAUAAUACUUUGUCUUGAUCUAUACUUUUCAACAGUUUUUCUAUUAUUGUCUAUCCUAAUACAAGAUAAUUUAACUGAUAAAAGCCUAAGUGCCUUAUACCUAAACCAGAUUUCAUAUCUAUUUAUCUAUUAAAUAAUUUAAAAUAAAAUAAAAUAAUUAAAGUUAGAACACAAAUUAACUCUGAGAUAUGGAACUUAAAUGUUGAUUUUGUCACUUACUAGUCCAUAUUCAAAGUUGGGUUGUAGAAACCCAAUCUUGAUUAGUUGAAUUAAAAAUCAAUAAUUAGGGAAGAUAAAAAAAAACCAAUCAACACACAAAAUAAAAUAUUUUUAACAUGGAAAACUUUCAUGCAAUAUGAAGAAAUAAAAAGUCAGAAGUCAUAAACUUCAAAUCUACAUCUAUUAUAUGAGAAUACAAUACACACUUUUAUCUAGCAGAUUGCAUUUGAAUCUCAUCUUAGCGCUUAAAAUGAUGCAAAUCUCCUUCACAAUCCAACAAAGACAAACAUGAACACUUCCUUGAAAGCUUUAAGAAUAAGAAGACAAAUUACAUUUUCCAGCUAGAAAAACUAAGCCAAAAACCUUUUUGAGUAAGGUAUAUGUACGCCCACAGACUUAGUGGACCAAUUCUCAAAAAAUCCUCAUGCAAUUUAAAUCCUUUAAAAUUGGAAAGAGAAAACUUUAGAAUUCUAGAGGAUUCUAUGUCGAGUGCUCAAGCACCCUCAUAUAGGGAUGACAACGGGGUGGGUUCGGGACAGGUCGCCCCCAUCCCAACCCCACCCCGUUUAUUCGAAAUAAUUCUCAUUCCCAUCCCAUUUAAAAAAUUAAACGGGAUGGGACGGGCCGAGGCGAGUAUGAUAAAUUUUCAUACUUGUCCUGUUUAACUUUUUUUUUUUUUUAAUUUUUUUUAAAAAAAUUACUUUUAAAUUUUUAAUUAUAUUAAAAUAAAUAUAUUUUAUAAAUAAUUAAAUUAUUAUAUUUUUUAUAACUUAUUUUAUUAAAAAUAUUUUAUUAUUAUCUAUAUAUUAAAAAUAAUAAAAUAAAAAUUAAAUUAAAUUAAUUUUAAAUUAUAAAUUAAAUUAAAUUUAAAAAUUAAUUUUAUAUAUAAUCGGAGCAGGGCUGGGUGGAGUGGGGCAAUACCCGAACCAGUCCCGAGUUUUUAAAAAAAUUCUCAAACUCAUCACAAACCUAUUUAUUAAAAUUAAACUCCGUCCCAUUAGAGACGGGACGAGGCGGGUACCCGAAUAAACCCGCCCCAUUGCCAUCCCUACCCUCAGAGCAUUUGAGUGCUUCUCAAGCAUUGAAUCCAGGCUUCAAGGUUCAUGUAGUUUUUAAACCCUAAAAAAAAAUUCAUUUUGAUCAAUUUUAAAAACUCGAUGGAUGUCAUGCUACACCAACUACUAAUUUGUCUUUCUAAGACAUUUCUAUACUUACCAAACUCAAUCGAUGCCAUGUUAUACCAAAAUAUGUAUAUAUAAACCAUUUUAACAAGAUUUUAUUGAUUUUAGUUUUUAAAAAUAGUUUUUUAUUAACCAUAUUUUAGUAAAGGGAAAAAGAGAAAUUCUUAUUAGUAAAUGUUUUCUAAAACAAAUGGAACCCAAAACUCUAAAUGUGCUUUAGAAAUUUUUUGGAAAACCAAAACCUGUUUUCUAAAAGGUUGAAAGAAAGAUAAUAAACAAAAUCUUGUGAGAUCCUUCUAUAUGAAUAUCAUAAAUAUAAAUGAAAAUGAAAAUGAAUAAAAUUACACAAUAUAGCAUGACUUAUCUGUAUAUAUUUGAAAUAUAAUAUUCUUUUAUAAGUGUUAUUACAAUUUAAAGUUAUAUCAAGUAUAUAUAUUUUUUCAUAUUAGGUUAAUUCAUUUUAUUAUAUUUUAUAAAUAGAUUUAAACUUUUUCUUGCAUUAUUUUAAAAUAAAAUUAGAGUAAAGGAAAUGUAAAAUAUAUGAACAAAUUUAAUUUUAGUGUUUUUAUUUGAUUAAGAAAUAAACAAGAAAUAAAAUUUUAUACUUUUUAUUUUUAAAAACGAAUUUUCAUUUUGCUCAACCGAAAGCCUUUUCAAAGUGAUCAUUGUCAAGAGUAUGGGCAACCAAAGGCAGCUAGAGGUUUAGUUGUAGUGUGUAGCAUGUGCAAAGACUUUGAAUUCAAGCCAUAAACGUGCACUACCUCUCUCUCCCUUAGUUGCAUUUGUCAUGUUCUCUUGUGAUGAUCUCCUUUAGAUGCUUAGACCCUUUGGGUCACGUGAACUAGUGGCAAGAAAAAUGAAUUGAUUUCAUGAUGGAGAGUGUAGGGACCCCUCCCCUUGGGAAACACGUGGCACGCGGCUCAUGGUGACGCGUGGCACGUGCUGUCAGCCGGACCAUCAUCAUCCGGAUUCCCCUACAGAUACGUAUGGUGCGACUAUCCUAUCCGGAACCCCCCAAGGAAAGACAAACAACGUUUCAGCUUCUCCUAUCCAAGGAAGAGCAAACGACGCUGGCAGAACGUAGACACCCGGAUAGUCUCCACAAACACAUCCGGAUAUUCAGCAUGAUCCAUCCGGAUAUAAAUCGUCUGGAUGGUCAAUUAAAGUAAAGCGAGUCUUACACGCAAUCACAACAAGCAGCCAUGGCCCACAUCCCAUCACCUGCAGAAUGAGAAGACAAGAGGAAGUGACAGCAAGUCACUUCCCACGAUCAUUCUGCAUAAUCGCUUCCCACGAUCUCUGACAGCCGCAUCACCUACCAUGGUCUCUGACAGCCAUUCGUAGGAUGAUAGUGCUCCUACUAACACCUAUUGUCAUCAUCACAACAGAAAAUAUCUCCCCACCAUUAAUGAGAGGAACAGUACCCCUGAAGCUGUAUAUAUAUGACUUCACACGAAGAAGAAAGGGAUGAUCUCCCGGUAACCUCUUGACACCUAGUAAAAGGCCAACUGCCUCAUAUAUCUUAUUCUCUUAUCAUGGCUAACAACAUCAUCGGAGGGUGCAUCCGGACACCUUGUCCGGAUGCCUUUUUACAGGUACAACCACUGAAUCAAGAACCCCUUGUGUGUUGAGAAUCGCGUGUCCAUCCAUCUAGCAGCAACGCGGCCCACCUGAUACGCGAGGUGACAACAUUGGCGCCGUCUGUGGGAACCUUUUACUUUUUAUUUUGAUUCAGUCACUAGCAAAGAUGGCCACACCUUCCCAAAGUCGAUCAUCUGGUAGAGAGGAAGAAGAUAAUCACGAAUGGCGUCAAGCCAUCGAAAAAAGACAGUUGGCGAGCGAAAAACAGCUAAGAGCUCUCCUCCAGGAGACGGAGAGGUUAAGGGAAGAAAACGCUGUGUUACGCAUUCAAGCCUCAACAUCAAGACCUCCUCGUCGUCAGCGCUCAAAAGGUCAAGUGGCGAACUCAAGGCCAGAGCCAGAAUCAAUAUAUCCUGGGUCAACAGGAGCUGUCCCAGGAACAUACAACGCAAGGCCCCAUGAGCCACGCACACCCAUGCCUCGAGCUCCCCGUGAGGAAAGCUCAGAUUCCACUCAUUUCUCAGCAAAAAGACAACGUGAUAGAAAAUCACAGUUGUCAAGUUCUAUGCGCGCAAGACUAGACCCACAGGAGCCUGGGAGAUCAAGGCCACCAGUAGCCACAACUCGGGCGCCACGCCCCGAUCCUAUGAUUGCUCCCAUGGUGCAGAACGUACCUCCGCAUCGUGACCCCAUGGUCACCCCAGCGAUGCGGAACGUUCACUCACACCUAGCGGAACGAUCACUCACACCUAGCGGAACGACCAGCUGGGAGAAACCUCCCAAACGAGCCACCCAUUGGCUCCAUCAGCAAAAGGCUGGAUGACAUGCUCUCCACGCCCUUUUGCUCUCAUAUCACCCAUUACGAGCCCCCAAGAGGAUUUCUCGUACCAAAGUUUUCCACAUACGAUGGGACCAACGAUCCCUUCGAUCACAUCAUGCACUAUCGACAGCUUAUGACGCUCGAUAUUGGCAACGAUGCAUUAUUAUGCAAAGUAUUCCUUGCCAGCCUUCAAGGGCAGGCCCUUUCAUGGUUUCAUCGCCUACCUCCUAACUCUGUUGACAAUUUUAGGGACCUCUCUGAAGCAUUCGUGGGACAGUACUUAUGCUCUGCUCGACACAAGCAGAAUAUCAGCACCCUCCAGAACAUAAAAAUGAAAGACAACGAAUCCUUGAGGGAAUUUGUGAAACGAUUUGGCCAAGCCGUACUCCAAAUAGAGGUUUGCAGCAUGGACGCUGUCCUACAGAUCUUCAAAAGAAGCAUCUGUCCAGGCACCCCAUUUUUCGAAUCGCUGGCAAAAAAACCUCCUACAACGAUGGACGAUUUGUUCAGACGCGCUAACAAAUAUUCAAUGCUCGAAGAUGACGUACGUGCAGCCACUCAGCAAGUUUUGGUUGCCGGACGGGCUUCUAGAGAUAACGUGGACAGACAUGCCAAACCUCCGGACCGGCCAAAACCAAUUGACCGGAGGCAGGACGGGCCGAGUCGUCCGGAUAGGCCGUCCAUCACACCCCUAUCCAUAUCAUACGAAAAACUUCUCCCAAUGAUCCAAGGGUUGUCCGACUUCAGGUGGCCUAGACCCCUCGAAACGGACCCAUCUAUAAGAGACCGCAGCAAGAAAUGCGCCUUCCACAAAGACCAUGGUCAUACAACAAAGACAUGUCGGUCCCUCCAGUAUCUAGUUGAGAGGCUCAUCAAAGCAAGACAUUUAAAACAGUACCUCCCCUCAGAUACUGGAGGAAGGGACGCAUCACAGCAUCAUAACUCUGGGGCCCCGAGGGCCCCAGUCGCCCCCAAGGCUGUCAUAAACUAUAUCAACGGGGGCCCAUCUGACGAGGAAUACGAUUCCAGGCGGAAAAGACAGAAAUUGCUGCGAGCCGCGUCAAUACGCGAACGCAUUAAUUCCAUCCGGCCGGGUCUUACUGGGGAGGGCCCUCGCCCCAUUGAUGGGACAAUCAUUUUCCCACCAGUAGAUCCCACCCGAACGCUACAGCCACAUCGCGACGCCCUCAUCCUCUCUCUAGAAAUAGGAGAUUUUGAUGUAAGACGUAUCUUGGUUGAUCCAGGCAGUUCAGCCGAUCUAGUACAAGCAUCAGUCAUUGGCCAUAUGGGACAUAGUCCCGCGGGUCUCGAAAACCCCGGACGAAUCUUAUCCGGAUUCAACGGAUCAUCAACAACAUCCUUAGGAGACAUUAUACUGCCGAUUCGAGCUGGACCAGUCACUCUCAACGUGCAAUUCUCGGUGGUACAAGAGUUGUCACCCUUCAAUGUCAUCUUGGGACGCACAUGGCUUCACUACAUGAAAGCCAUCCCUUCCACAUAUCAUCAAAUGGUGAGUUUCCUCACCAACGAAGGGCAAACUGACUUGUAUGGCAGCCAGUUAGCCGCUCGCCAGUGCUACCAAAUAGCACGUGAAGCAGUCGCUAACCAGGAGGAUGCAUCUCCCCCUGAACCUAGCAUUGCGCACGACCAAUAGCAAUUAUUGGGUCCGGUGGACAAGGAUCCCCCGGUAGCAGAUCCCUUACAAACAAUCCAAAUCUCAGAAGAGAAUGAUCACCUCACAAACGUCAGUUCCCUCAUGACACAAGAAGAAACCCAGAGCAUACAAAAUAUCCUUCGAAGCAACCAUGACAUCUUCGCAUGGACACAUUCGGAUAUGAAGGGAAUUCAUCCCUCUAUCGCCUCUCACAAGCUUAACGUCCUUCCAGCAGCCAGACCCAUUCGACAGAAGAUUAGACGCUUUCACCCGGAUAGACAAAGAGUUAUCCAAGAUGAAAUUAACAAAUUGUUGGAAGCAGGAUUCAUCAGAGAGGUAUCUUAUCCGGAUUGGUUGGCAAAUGUAGUAGUGGUACCAAAGAAAGAGGGCAAAUGGCGAGUCUGUGUUGAUUACACCAAUCUCAAUAAUGCAUGCCCAAAAGACAGUUUUCCCUUACCACGGAUAGAUCAAAUUGUGGAUUCCACUUCCGGGCAAGGGAUGCUCUCUUUCUUGGAUGCCUUCUCCGGAUAUCACCAAAUUCCCAUGUCUCCGGAUGACGAAGAAAAAACAGCAUUCAUAACGCCACACGGCCUCUAUUGCUACAAAGUCAUGCCAUUCGGACUCAAAAACGCUGGCGCCACGUAUCAAAGAUUGAUGACUAAAAUCUUCAAACCUCUGAUAGGCCGCUCGGUCGAGGUAUACAUUGACGAUAUCGUGGUUAAAAGCAAAACUCGAGAGCAGCAUAUCCUCCAUCUACAAGAAGUAUUUUACCUCUUGCGAAAGUACGACAUGAAGCUAAAUCCUUCCAAAUGUGCCUUUGGCGUGAGUGCUGGCAAGUUUCUGGGAUUUAUGGUCAGCCAAAGAGGCAUAGAAGUCAGCCCGGAUCAAGUCAAAGCAGUCAUGGAGACACCUCCCCCCAGGAACAAAAAGGAGUUACAACGCCUCACAGGCAAGCUCGUUGCGUUAGGACGUUUUAUAGCCCGCUUCACUGAUGAGUUGCGACCCUUCUUCUUAGCGAUACGAAAAGCUGGAACCCAGGGAUGGACGGACAAUUGCCAAAACGCGUUGGAAAGAAUUAAACAUUGUCUUAUGCAUCCACCCAUCUUGAGCAGCCCCAUCCCAAAGGAAAAGCUAUAUAUGUAUUUAGCUGUCUCAGAAUGGGCAAUCAGCACCGCUCUAUUCCGCUGCCCUUCACCAAAGGAGCAGAAACCUGUCUACUAUGUCAGCAGGGCAUUGGCAGAUGUAGAAACCAGGUAUUCAAAAAUGGAGCUAACAGCCUUAGCUCUUCGAAGUGCUGCCCAAAAGCUCCGCCCCUAUUUUCAAGCCCACCCAGUGAUUGUACUGACCGAUCAACCCCUUCGCAGCAUUCUACACAAACCAGAUUUAACUGGGCGAAUGCUACAAUGGGCCAUCGAAUUGAGCGAAUUUGGAAUCGAAUUCCAACCCAGAUUAUCCAAAAAAGGCCAAGUAAUGGCCGACUUUGUGCUCGAAUAUUCACGAAGACCCAACCAGCACCACGAAUCAAGUGAACAGGAGUGGUGGACACUACGAGUUGACGGAGCCUCGCGCUCAUCAGGCUCUGGAGUUGGGCUCGUAUUACAGUCCCCAACUAGGGAACAUCUGGAGCAAACCAUCCGGUUGGGAUUCUCCGCGUCUAACAAUGAGGCAGAAUACGAGGCCAUCCUGUCCGGAUUGGACCUCGCCCUUGCUCUAUCUGUCUCCAAACUCCGGAUCUACAGCGACUCGCAACUAGUGGUAAGGCACAUCCAGAAAGAAUAUGAGGCUAAGGACUCACGCAUGGCGCGAUACUUGGCCAAAGUAAGAAGCACCUUACAGCAAUUCACCGAGUGGACAAUCGAAAAAAUUAAGCGAGCUGACAAUAGGCACGCUGACGCUUUGGCCGGCAUAGCUGCCUCUCUACCUAUCAAAGAAGCCAUUCUAUUGCCCAUAUAUGUGCAAGCCAAUCCCUCUGUCGCAGAAAAUUCCACUUGCAACACCAUUGAGGCAACCCAAACGGAUAAUCAAGAAUGGACGCAGGAUAUUGCAGAAUAUAUCCGGACAGGCACUUUACCCAAAGAUCUUAAACAAGCACACAAAAUCCGGGUGCAGGCUGCCCGCUUCACCCUGAUCGGGGGANNNNNNNNNNNNNNNNNNNNNNNNNNNNNNNNNNNNNNNNNNNNNNNNNNNNNNNNNNNNNNNNNNNNNNNNNNNNNNNNNNNNNNNNNNNNNNNNNNNNNNNNNNNNNNNNNNNNNNNNNNNNNNNNNNNNNNNNNNNNNNNNNNNNNNNNNNNNNNNNNNNNNNNNNNNNNNNNNNNNNNNNNNNNNNNNNNNNNNNNNNNNNNNNNNNNNNNNNNNNNNNNNNNNNNNNNNNNNNNNNNNNNNNNNNNNNNNNNNNNNNNNNNNNNNNNNNNNNNNNNNNNNNNNNNNNNNNNNNNNNNNNNNNNNNNNNNNNNNNNNNNNNNNNNNNNNNNNNNNNNNNNNNNNNNNNNNNNNNNNNNNNNNNNNNNNNNNNNNNNNNNNNNNGAGUCCGGACUGUAGAUCGCGCGUCAAACGCGGCUUCUUGAGGGGAGGCCCUUUCACCAGGACUAUAGCCAGGCGAUCCGGGUCGUCGGAAGGCUGACUUUGGCUUUCUGCUCCCGCUUCCUCCAACGGGGCCGUUUCAGCUGCAUCAGCAUCCGGAUUAAGGUUGCCCGGACGGUUGAUAGAUGCAGCUUCCUCAGCCACGUUAGCCAGACGCGCAGCCGCGACCAAGGAAGGACCUGAGUGAUUCAACCCCGACAUGCGUCCGGGGCCGCUUGAGAUAGAGUGCGGAGCAGCAUUUACUGGCUCCUCUAUCAUUACUUCCCCCUCAUAGGUAGUUUGGGGAGGAGGAAACUGCUUGGGAGGAGUGGGUUCCUUCAUGUCCUUCCCAUGCUUCUUCACCAGCUUCCCCCUUUUUCCUGAAGUUUUCUUUGGAGGAGAGUCCGGACCCCGCUUCUGUCCGGGAGCCUUCCGGAUAGUGCCUUCAGUUUUUUUCUGAUCUCUAUCCUCCAGGAGCUUUCGCCGCCUUUCAGCGUCAGCCUCUUUGGCUUCCUGACAGAGGGGGAGCUCCUUCACAGUAUAAUGCUCCCCAGGCACUAUCUCAUCCUUUGCCAAUUUCCUAGGAAGAAUAUUGAUAACAUAUUCCUGGGGCUCCCGGACGACCUCCGUCAAAUUCCGCGCGGAAAGCAAUGUUUUGUAGGCCCUCUCCUUGGGGUCUAUUUCAAAUAAUUUGCAGACGCAGGCAAAGGACGCCUUUUCCACCCAAUCCACAAGGUGGCCCCUCAAUUCCAAACCUGCAUUGUCAGCAACAAAGGGUGAGAAUUCUGUCCGGAAAAAUCAGAAAAAAUCAGCAAAGCAAAAUCCGAAUAAAAAAUCGCAAAACAAGAUUACCCGGGAUUUGUAAGGUAUAAUUCGGAGAAAAAGGCCUCGACGGAUGCUGCGAUAGCCCCGCCCAUCCACCCCAGACUGCCACCAGCCCCUUCGCCCCUCCCUUUGUCGAAUCUGGCAGUUCUGUCACCAUUUGAAGGGAGGGCAGGUGAGCGGACACACUGAAGAUAUCAUUCUUUGCUUUCUUCAGGGAAUAGACAAAGAACAAUUCCAGUAGCGUAAGGUCGAGGCUGUACAGCAUGUUGAUAAUGCUGCAUCCCAUCAGCACCCGGACAAGGUUGGGAUGAAUGAAGAUGGGUGGAAUCUGAGAGAAGUGGAGGAAUUCCUUGAACAAGGCUGGCAGAGGGAACCGGAGCCCCGCGUUGAAUUGUUCCUUUGUGAAGAGGAUAGCGUUUUUUCCACCUUUCUCAGUAGGAAUAGCCGCCUCCUCGUUCACCAGGUCUAUCAAUACGUCAUGGGGGAUGCGGAAUCGCUCCCGGAACUCCUUCGCAUUUANNNNNNNNNNNNNNNNNNNNNNNNNNNNNNNNNNNNNNNNNNNNNNNNNNNNNNNNNNNNNNNNNNNNNNNNNNNNNNNNNNNNNNNNNNNNNNNNNNNNAAUCUGGCAGUUCUGUCACCAUUUGAAGGGAGGGCAGGUGAGCGGACACACUGAAGAUAUCAUUCUUUGCUUUCUUCAGGGAAUAGACAAAGAACAAUUCCAGUAGCGUAAGGUCGAGGCUGUACAGCAUGUUGAUAAUGCUGCAUCCCAUCAGCACCCGGACAAGGUUGGGAUGAAUGAAGAUGGGUGGAAUCUGAGAGAAGUGGAGGAAUUCCUUGAACAAGGCUGGCAGAGGGAACCGGAGCCCCGCGUUGAAUUGUUCCUUUGUGAAGAGGAUAGCGUUUUUUCCACCUUUCUCAGUAGGAAUAGCCGCCUCCUCGUUCACCAGGUCUAUCAAUACGUCAUGGGGGAUGCGGAAUCGCUCCCGGAACUCCUUCGCAUUUAGUUUAUCUAUCGCCUUUUCGCCAGCCUCGCUGACCCGGACAGACGAAACAGUCUUUUUUGGAGUCAUUUCUUACCACAAAGCCAAAGCAAAAUCUACACGCAAAAACAAUGCAAACGGUCCAGACCAAGCAAUCAGAAAAUACACAAACUCAAAGCAGUCAGAAAAACCCCUCAAAAACCCCUCCAAACAAACAACAAAGUACCAACAUUAAACAAACAAUUGCAAGCGACUUGUUCAAAACAAAGCCAGGAACCAAGUUUAAAGAACCGGCAAACGCAACCAAAGGAAUGACAAUAGCAAAGAGGUACGUACCAAAUAGAGCUCUGGAGAAGAAAAACGGUUACUCUCUCGGUAUAAAAUCACCGGCAACAAACAAACGAGGUCGUUCGAAGUUUUUCUCAGAAAAGCAAAGGACGCAGAAAAAGUAAGAAGAAGGAAGGCUCUCAAGAGAAUGCAGUAGAAAAAAUACAAAAAGAGGUACAGUGCCCUAUUUAUAGCAGGACAGCCCCUCGGAAAGCCAAACCAACAGCCGUGUUAUCAUUGAAACGACAUAUUGCCUGGGGAUACACAGGGUCGGCGGCUCGCCAUAAAUGCCUUUUUUGGCUUUCGCACCCCCACUCGCCACGUGGCUAAGUUAGACGAAUGGACUUUUUCAAUUUUCAAAAACCCAGUUAUUUUUAACCCGCCCAUUUUUUGGCAAAAUAAGCAAGUUAAAAAGGGGGGCAAUGUAGGGACCCCUCCCCUUGGGAAACACGUGGCACGCGGCUCAUGGUGACGCGUGGCACGUGCUGUCAGCCGGACCAUCAUCAUCCGGAUUCCCCUACAGAUACGUAUGGUGCGACUAUCCUAUCCGGAACCCCCCAAGGAAAGACAAACAACGUUUCAGCUUCUCCUAUCCAAGGAAGAGCAAACGACGCUGGCAGAACGUAGACACCCGGAUAGUCUCCACAAACACAUCCGGAUAUUCAGCAUGAUCCAUCCGGAUAUAAAUCGUCUGGAUGGUCAAUUAAAGUAAAGCGAGUCUUACACGCAAUCACAACAAACAGCCAUGGCCCACAUCCCAUCACCUGCAGAAUGAGAAGACAAGAGGAAGUGACAGCAAGUCACUUCCCACGAUCAUUCUGCAUAAUCGCUUCCCACGAUCUCUGACAGCCGCAUCACCUACCAUGGUCUCUGACAGCCAUUCGUAGGAUGAUAGUGCUCCUACUAACACCUAUUGUCAUCAUCACAACAGAAAAUAUCUCCCCACCAUUAAUGAGAGGAACAGUACCCCUGAAGCUGUAUAUAUAUGACUUCACACGAAGAAGAAAGGGAUGAUCUCCCGGUAACCUCUUGACACCUAGUAAAAGGCCAACUGCCUCAUAUAUCUUAUUCUCUUACCAUGGCUAACAACAUCAUCGGAGGGUGCAUCCGGACACCCUGUCCGGAUGCCUUUUUGCAGGUACAACCACUGAAUCAAGAACCCCUUGUGUGUUGAGAAUCGCGUGUCCAUCCAUCUAGCAGCAACGCGGCCCACCUGAUACGCGAGGUGACAACAGAGAGGUCAUCAUGCUCAUCCUAGUGCCAAUUAACUCAAAACAACUAAGGAUAAUUCUAUGAUGGGGUAAUUAUCGAACAAGGUGAUAUUACAUGAUAAGAAAAAGGUUUAUUUGAUAUCUCAAUAUAAUUUGAUAUUUAGGUUGCUUAAAAAGAUUAAAAUGAGAUUGAAGAAUGAUCCGUCAUUUUCGAAUUGUGUGGCGGGUCGAGUGUGGGGAACAUCAUCCUAAGAGUAAAGCCACGCCAGAGAGAAGUCCCACUGGCACUGAAAUCAAGGCAACUAGAAGAAAAGGCUUCAGUUACGUCGUCAACCGAAAGAGUUGAAGUGAAGCCAUCCAGAUGAGGCAUUAACUGCAAAGAAAAAACAAAACAUGUGGCUGCUUAAUUUCUUGAUAUGGUGGAGCCGCAUGAGGGCAUGAGUUGAGUAUAUAAGUGGAUGCAAGCUUCAUUCCUUGACCAUUAAGCCUCUUUGGGUUACUGAAUACUGAGAGUAGAACCAAAUUGCAAUGGCAAAUUCACCUGUAGUGUGGUUAGCAUCCGUGUGGCUUGUGUCCAAUAUAUUGUCCCUUCCAUUCCUGGAAUUGGGUAUAUCUUCUUGUGGUGGCUCAUGUCAAACACUUAAUGACUGUGAAGGUCAGCUCAUGCAUCGAUGGUAAAUGUAACGACGAUCCCGAGGUCGGGACUCACAUAAAUGGAGGAAGUUCAAUUACCCCUCCACCUCCACCUCCCGGUACCUGCCAGCCCUCCGGAACUCUUGCGUGCAAUGGUGGAAAACCCAAAAAUACCUACACAUGCUCUCCUCCGGUCACCUCCUCCACGCCUGCCGUUCUAACUAACAAUAAUUUUGAAAAAGGAGGGGACGGUGGAGGCCCAUCCACUUGCGACAACAAAUACCAUGACAAUUCAGAGCGCAUCGUAGCAUUGUCAACUGGGUGGUAUAAUGGGGGAUCCCAGUGUGGAAAGAUGAUUAGGAUAACGACUCAAAAUGGGAGGAGCGUGUCACAGUGGUGGAUGAGUGUGAC
Molecule: long non-coding RNA, 22296 nt
Filed under: Vitis vinifera (wine grape)
Lineage: Eukaryota; Viridiplantae; Streptophyta; Magnoliopsida; Vitales; Vitaceae
Description: long non-coding RNA (VVIN_LNC001695)
Source: RNAcentral